Actinia tenebrosa (Australian red waratah sea anemone) is the source of this 1177-nucleotide long non-coding RNA. Lineage: Eukaryota; Metazoa; Cnidaria; Anthozoa; Actiniaria; Actiniidae. The record is from RefSeq and is a predicted model, not a curated record.
AAAGGAUACCUUUAAGUAUGGUCAAGGAUACCCAUCAAUAUGGUCAGGUAUAUCCUUAAAUAUGGUCAGGGCCAAGGAUAUUCAUUCACAAGCUAAUCCUAAUAUUCUUUAUCCUUYCAGGGUGGUUUGAUCUCGAAGCAAUCGUACAUUAAACCGAGGCUAAUGAUGAUGGAUUUCUAAACGCUAAACUCAUCAUGGACGGAGCGACGAACAACACUAAAGUUUCAGACGAAGAAGGCUUGUUGUAUUUGACUGAAAUUGAGUCUAGGACGAGAUUAAUCUGUACCUUGAGUGUUCACAUUCAUACAGACUGAAGCUGCUUUUUAUGAUUUUUUGAAACAAAAAGUGGUAGGAAUUGAGAAAAUGUAAACCAGAUGGGUUUCAAAGCGAUGCCAAGGUACAUGAGCAAUGACGACUACAUCCCGGGCGGAGAGAGAUAGAGUUGGUUUUAUCACGGAGCAAUCGUACACUUAAUCGAGGCUAAGUAAGGUGGAUUUACAACUGUUACAGCCAUCAUGGACGAGACGACGAACGAGGCCAAGUAGGGCUCUGUGCAUGGCGUUCAGAUAUUGUUGAUGGCUUACAUCCCAUCAGGGGUGUACAGGCUUAGAAGGAUCAUCAUAACUUGUUUUUUUAACUGCAAUCUUAAGGGACUUGCAAAAGAUUAUAGUUGCGUUAGUUAGUAAGAAAUCCAAAUGCUAACGUCUCAUAUCUUGCAAAGGAAAAUGGCGCUUUUUCUAGUGGCUUUCCUUGUGCUGGGGAUUUCUGGUAUCGCAAAAGCUGGUCCUGGUUGGUAUAGUACAUUGCGCCCACACCCAAAGACAGGCCAGAUAUUUUUUCUUCACGGAUCGUAAAAACUGAAAUGACCAUAUAAGAUCGAUAUCUUAACAAUAGUUUUAACCCGUUGUCAAUGGCAAAGUCAGUAUCCCUUAACAAUCCUUAUGUGACGUGAAAUGAAUUCCUUAUUUCUAGUGGGUAACACCUAAAAAUAAAAARCACAUAAAAUUGUGGCCCUCUAAACCAAGGGCAAAAUUUUCGUCUCUUCAAAAUAAGACCGUAAAAAUCCGGUACCGAAUAAAAUCUAUGUGGUUGAUCCAUGACAUGUUCCUUUUUCCAGAGUAAGACUUUGAAGAUGACGACCUCUCGAAAGCUGCCUCCGGCUUCAAAUAGUCCCUUU